UUUCCCUAAAACCCCGCUCCCGUCGCUCCUCCCCAGGCCCAGCUGACCACGGAUGUGAUGCCGGACCAGAAGACGUUCACGGAUCCCAAGGCGGGAAGCAGCCGGCAGCGGGAGCUCCGGAUCCUGCUCCUCAUUCCCAUCCUGAUCCCGGCGCUGGGGCUAUAGAGGGGCGGGAAGGAGCGGCCGGUGGGACGGGGACGCUCGGACCAGUGCCACCAGUGCCACCAGUGCCACCAGUGCCCACCGCUGCCGCGCUUGUGCCGGAGACUGGAACGCUCCCAAAUCCCGGGAAUGCCGAGCUCCGGAGAGGCAGGAGGAGCCUUCACCACGCUGGGAAACUUCGGUGGUUUUCUUCCAACUUUUCAUUUUUCCCGGUUUUUUUUGGGGGGGUUUUUUUUUUUUUUUGGUCUUUUCUGGGAGCAGCUCCUGGGGAAACUCCUUGGAACAGGCCUAAAAUGGGGGUCUGGAGCUGCCAGCAGUGCCGAGGAGGGGAAAAACAUCGGAGAAAAGCUUUGGGAAGGUGAAUUGCAGGAUUCUUUGCUCUGGGGUGGCCACAGGGACAGCGAGGAUUCCGCAUGGGAACAUCCCGGAGGACGAAGGCGCCGUCGGGAGCCACCUGGAUGGAACUCCCGCAGCUCUUCCCGUUGGUUUUUGGGGGAUUUUGGUUGGGAUUUUUCCUCGGAGAGUUUCCGAGUGGAAGAGAAAAGAAACUGGUGUGAAACGUGUGAGGCUGUGCUGAUGUUUUCAAUCAUUCCAGGGGAAGAGGUUCCAUUUUCCUUUUUUUUCUUUUUGGAAUUUGGGUUGGGAGUGGAUUUUGACCUAUUCAGGGUCAGAAUUCCCUAUUUUCCCUCUCCACUUUAUUUCCUAUAUACAUAUAACAUAUGGAUAUUCCCAUAUACACAACCUUACCCAUCCUGUGGCUUUUUAAUUCCCAUUUUCCCCUUUAUUUUCCCUCUAUUUUUUUAUUUUAAAUUUUUUUUCCUAAUUCCUCCAAUUCCCACAACAACUUCCAAAUGUAUUCUUGGAAAAUUUAUUUUUUUUAACGAUGUCUAUAAUGGAAAAAAAAAAAAGAAAGAAAAACCAAAAUAAACUAAGGAGAACA
This is a long non-coding RNA of Chloebia gouldiae (Gouldian finch), 1102 nucleotides long. The record is from Ensembl. NCBI's taxonomy places the organism in Eukaryota, Metazoa, Chordata, Aves, Passeriformes, Passeridae.